GGGGGUAUGGUGUAAUGGAUAGCAUAGGGGCCUUCGAAGCCUUUGAUCUCGGUUCGACUCCGGGUACCCUCGCCA
This 75-nucleotide transfer RNA is filed under the name Methanobacteriota archaeon. Its description in RNAcentral is "Euryarchaeota archaeon tRNA-Arg". It matches the Rfam family "tRNA". From Rfam's summary of the family: Transfer RNA (tRNA) molecules are approximately 80 nucleotides in length. Their secondary structure includes four short double-helical elements and three loops (D, anti-codon, and T loops). RNAcentral also lists the same sequence under 1 other name. The record is from RNAcentral. Lineage: Archaea; Methanobacteriati; Methanobacteriota.